Molecule: ribosomal RNA, 1374 nt
Filed under: marine metagenome
Description: bacterial LSU rRNA
Rfam family: Bacterial large subunit ribosomal RNA
Source: RNAcentral
CCCGAUGAGGGGAGUGAAACAGUACCUGAAACCGGAUGCUUACAAGCAGUUGGAGCCUCUUUAGGGGGUGACAGCGUACCUCUUGCAUAAUGGGUCAGUGACUUAAUGUACCAUGCGAGCUUAAGCCGUUAGGUGUAGGCGCAGCGAAAGCGAGUCUGAAUAGGGCGACUGAGUAUGAUGGAUUAGACCCGAACCCCGGCGAUCUAGGCAUGGCCAGGUUGAAGGUGCAGUAACAUGCACUGGAGGACCGAACCGGUGAAUGUUGAAAAAUUCUCGGAUGAGCUGUGUUUAGGGGUGAAAGGCCAAUCAAGCCGGGAAAUAGCUGGUUCUCCGCGAAAUCUAUUGAGGUAGAGCGUCGGAUGUAUGCCGAUGGGGGUAGAGCACUGGAUGGGCUAGGGCUGCGCGAGCGGUACCAAACCUAACCAAACUCCGAAUACCAUCGAGUCUUAUCCGGCAGACAGACGGCGGGUGCUAAGGUCCGUCGUCAAAAGGGAAACAGCCCUAACCUACAGCUAAGGUCCCCAAGUCAUAUCUAAGUGGGAAAGCAUGUGGGAAUCCCAAAACAACCAGGAGGUUGGCUUAGAAGCAGCCAUCCUUUAAAGAAAGCGUAACAGCUCACUGGUCUAAACAAGGGUUCCUGCGGCGAAGAUGUAACGGGGCUAAAGAUAUGCACCGAAGCUUAGGGUUCAGAAUUUAUUCUGAGCGGUAGCGGAGCGUUCCGUAAGCGAGUGAAGGCGAAGGGUAACCGACGCUGGACGUAUCGGAAGUGCGAAUGCUGACAUGAGUAGCGACAAAGAGGGUGAGAUGCCCUCUCGCCGAAAGACCAAGGGUUCCUGCGCAACGCUAAUCGGCGCAGGGUUAGCCGGCCCCUAAGACGAGCCCGAAGGGGGUAGUCGAUGGGAACCACGUAAAUAUUCGUGGGCCUGAAGAUGUGUGACGGAUCGUGGAAGUUGUUUUCUCUUAUUGGAUUGAGAGGGCAGCCAAGCGGUUCCAGGAAAUAGCCUCUUCACUAUAGACCGUACCCGAAACCGACACAGGUGGUCAGGUAGAGUAUACCAAGGCGCUUGAGAGAAGUAUCCUGAAGGAACUCGGCAAAUUGCCUCCGUACCUUCGGAAGAAGGAGGCCCCAUAUCGACGCAAGUCUUUGUGGGGGGCACAGGCCAGGGGGUAGCGACUGUUUAGCAAAAACACAGCACUCUGCUAAGUCGGCUUCAAGACGACGUAUAGGGUGUGACGCCUGCCCGGUGCUCGAAGGUUAAGAGGAGGAGUGCAAGCUCCGAAUUGAAGCCCGAGUAAACGGCGGCCGUAACUAUAACGGUCCUAAGGUAGCGAAAUUCCUUGUCGGGUAAGUUCCGACCUGCACGAAUGGCAUAA